Molecule: ribosomal RNA, 1137 nt
Filed under: Triticum aestivum (bread wheat)
Lineage: Eukaryota; Viridiplantae; Streptophyta; Magnoliopsida; Poales; Poaceae
Description: partial small subunit ribosomal RNA
Source: RNAcentral
CUGUCCCCGGCGAGCCGGCAUGGAGGAGAGGCCAUAGAUCGCCGGCAGGCGCCUCCGCCGCCGCCGGACGCGGCGGCGGAGCAGGCUGGGGGCUCCCAGGAGCUGCAGCUCCCGGCGGACAUCGACUGGGAGCGGCUCGACAAGUCGCGCUUCUUCGUCCUCGGCGCGGGGCUCUUCUCCGCCGUCUCGACCGCGCUCUACCCCGCCGUCGUCCUCAAGACGCGCCUGCAGGUCGCGCCGGAGCCUCCCCCGGCGCACGCGGCGACGGGGGCGCGGCCGGGGCUCCCGCCCUCCGCCGCCGCCGCGGCCACCACCAUCCUGCGCCGGGAGGGCCCCCUCGCCUUCUACCGUGGCUUUGCCACCUCCCUCGCCGGGACCGUCCCCGCGCGCGCGCUCUACAUGGGCGCGCUCGAGGCCACGCGCUCCGUCGUCGGCCCGGCCGCGCUCGGCCUCGGCGCGCCGGAGCCUGCUGCGUCCGCGGCCGCGGGCGCGGCUGCCGGGCUCACCGCCGCCGUUGCCGCGCAGGUUGUGUGGACGCCCGUCGAUGUCAUCAGCCAGCGCCUCAUGGUGCAGGGCAACCCGUGCCCGGCCUCCCGCUACCACGGCGGCCUCGACGCAUUCCGCAAGAUCGUAGCCUCCGAUGGCCUCUGUGGCCUGUACCGCGGCUUCGGCAUGUCCAUCCUAACCUACGCCCCCUCCAAUGCCGUGUGGUGGGCGACUUACUCACUGUCACAGAAGAUAAUCUGGAGCGGAAUCGGCUGCUACCUCUGCGAGUACGGUGUGGGUGUUCAAGAAAUCGAUGACGGCGACGGUGAAAUCUCAUUGCAGCCAAGCUGCAAGACACUCAUGGUGGUGCAGGGAACGAGUGCCGCGAUAGCCGGUGGCGCCGCGGCGCUUGUGACCAUGCCGCUGGACACCAUCAAGACCAGGAUGCAGGUCAUGGACGGCCAAGGCGAGCCAAUCACCAUUGGGCGGACGGUGCGGGAGCUGAUCAAGGAAGGCGGGUGGGGCGCGUGUUACAGGGGCCUCGGCCCGAGGUGGGCGUCCAUGUCCUUGUCUGCCACCACCAUGAUCACCACGUAUGAGUUCCUCAAGCGCCUCUCGGCGAAGAAGGGGCAGGAGAGUGGCGUUCCCUGA